This 497-nucleotide ribosomal RNA is filed under the name uncultured bacterium. Its description in RNAcentral is "partial 16S ribosomal RNA". It matches the Rfam family "Bacterial small subunit ribosomal RNA", at positions 28 to 507 of the family's 1533-position model. The record is from RNAcentral.
GAUGAACGCUGGCGGCGUGCCUAAUACAUGCAAGUCGAGCGAACGGACGAGAAGCUUGCUUCUCUGAUGUUAGCGGCGGACGGGUGAGUAACACGUGGAUAACCUACCUAUAAGACUGGGAUAACUUCGGGAAACCGGAGCUAAUACCGGAUGAUAUUUUGAACCGCAUGGUUCAAAAGUGAAAGACGGUCUUGCUGUCACUUAUAGAUGGAUCCGCGCUGCAUUAGCUAGUUGGUAAGGUAACGGCUUACCAAGGCAACGAUGCGUAGCCGACCUGAGAGAGUGAACGGCCACACUGGAACUGGAACACGGUAAAGACUACUACGGGAGGGAACAGUAGGGAAUCUUCCGCAAUGGGCGAAAGCCUGACGGAGCAACGCCGCGAGAGUGAUGAAGGUCUUCGGAUCGUAAAACUCUGUUAUUAGGGAAGAACAUAUGUGUAAGUAACUGUGCACAUCUUGACGGUACCUAAUCAGAAAGCCACGGCUAACUACGUG